This 424-nucleotide ribosomal RNA is filed under the name Verrucomicrobiota bacterium. Its description in RNAcentral is "Verrucomicrobia bacterium partial 16S ribosomal RNA". It matches the Rfam family "Bacterial small subunit ribosomal RNA", at positions 355 to 776 of the family's 1533-position model. The record is from RNAcentral. Lineage: Bacteria; Pseudomonadati; Verrucomicrobiota.
UGAGGAAUAUUGGUCAAUGGACGGAAGUCUGAACCAGCCAAGUAGCGUGCAGGAUGACGGCCCUAUGGGUUGUAAACUGCUUUUAUACGGGGAUAAAGUUAGGGACGUGUCCCUAUUUGCAGGUACCGUAUGAAUAAGGACCGGCUAAUUCCGUGCCAGCAGCCGCGGUAAUACGGAAGGUCCGGGCGUUAUCCGGAUUUAUUGGGUUUAAAGGGAGCGUAGGCUGUCUAUUAAGCGUGUUGUGAAAUUUACCGGCUCAACCGGUGGCUUGCAGCGCGAACUGGUCGACUUGAGUAUGCAGGAAGUAGGCGGAAUUCAUGGUGUAGCGAUGAAAUGCUUAGAUAUCAUGACGAACUCCGAUUGCGCAGGCAGCUUACUGUAGCAUAACUGACGCUGAUGCUCGAAAGUGCGGGUAUCAAACAGG